RNAcentral lists this ribosomal RNA (346 nucleotides) under uncultured Cenococcum. Its description in RNAcentral is "eukaryotic LSU rRNA". It matches the Rfam family "Eukaryotic large subunit ribosomal RNA", at positions 1 to 343 of the family's 3401-position model. Lineage: Eukaryota; Fungi; Ascomycota; Dothideomycetes; Gloniales; Gloniaceae. The record is from RNAcentral.
UUGACCUCGGAUCAGGCAGGGAUACCCGCUGAACUUAAGCAUAUCAAUAAGCGGAGGAAAAGAAACCAACAGGGAUUGCCUCAGUAACGGCGAGUGAAGCGGCAACAGCUCAAAUUUGAAAUCUGGCUCUUUUAGGGUCCGAGUUGUAAUUUGUAGAGGAUGCUUCGGCGUCGGCUCCGGUCUAAGUUCCUUGGAACAGGACGUCAUAGAGGGUGAGAAUCCCGUAUGUGAUCGGUUGCCCUUGCCAUGUGAAGCUCCUUCGACGAGUCGAGUUGUUUGGGAAUGCAGCUCUAAAUGGGAGGUAAAUUUCUUCUAAAGCUAAAUACUGGCCAGAGACCGAUAGCGC